AGUGAACGCUGGCGAUAGGCCUAACACAUGCAAGUCGAACGGCAGCACAGUAAGAGCUUGCUCUUACGGGUGGCGAGUGGCGGACGGGUGAGGAAUACAUCGGAAUCUACUUUUUCGUGGGGGAUAACGUAGGGAAACUUACGCUAAUACCGCAUACGACCUACGGGUGAAAGCAGGGGAUCUUCGGACCUUGCGCGAUUGAAUGAGCCGAUGUCGGAUUAGCUAGUUGGCGGGGUAAAGGCCCACCAAGGCGACGAUCCGUAGCUGGUCUGAGAGGAUGAUCAGCCACACUGGAACUGAGACACGGUCCAGACUCCUACGGGAGGCAGCGGUGGGGAAUAUUGGACAAUGGGCGCAAGCCUGAUCCAGCCAUACCGCGUGGGUGAAGAAGGCCUUCGGGUUGUAAAGCCCUUUUGUUGGGAAAGAAAAGCAGCAGGUUAAUACCCCGCUGUUCUGACGGUACCCAAAGAAUAAGCACCGGCUAACUUCGUG
This 492-nucleotide ribosomal RNA is filed under the name uncultured bacterium. Its description in RNAcentral is "partial 16S ribosomal RNA". It matches the Rfam family "Bacterial small subunit ribosomal RNA", at positions 29 to 507 of the family's 1533-position model. The record is from RNAcentral.